UCGCUGUAGCAUUUCCCAAAUUAAUCUCCUUUUUGGUAAAAGCAUGAAUCUGAUAUUCAAGUUUCUCAAGGUCAUUAACCUUUGUUGCCCCAUCAGCAUCCACCAUUAGAAGUAGUUCACCACGAGAAUGAAGCAUGCCUUUUCGAAUAGCUUCUCCCUUGCCAUGAUUUCUCCCAAGAAGUAUAACUCUUACAUUGUCCACUGUAUAUUUUUUCACGAAGCCAAAAGCAACGCUUUUUGUGGCAUCCUGACUUCCAUCAUCAACAAUCACCACCUCAUAAGUAAAUGACCUAUCCUUUGCUGCACGUCGUCGAAGAUAAUUCAUGGUUUCAUCAAGUGCUGCAGGAAGCCUACGUUCUUCAUUAAAAGCAGGAAUUAUCAAAGAUAUAUACUUCUCUGCUGGAUCAUUGAUAUGGGGGCAAGGAAUCUGUUUUAACGAAUUCAGAUCCUCAUAGAUAACAGGAGCAUCAACAUGCUCGUAACUGUGUCUUCGCUUGUAGGAUUCAAAGAUGACUGGAAAGAAUGUUAUCAUCAGAAGUUGAGCUGCCAGAUGCUCUGCUAUUGUCAAUAGUAACUCCAUUGGUCAC
Molecule: unclassified non-coding RNA, 587 nt
Filed under: Hevea brasiliensis (rubber tree)
Lineage: Eukaryota; Viridiplantae; Streptophyta; Magnoliopsida; Malpighiales; Euphorbiaceae
Source: RNAcentral